UCCAAAUUUCAUUGCCCCCAUUCCCAUCACAUUCCUCACGAGACUCGCCAUCCGCUCGAGAGUCUUCUCGUUGUGUGUAUCCAAUGGUGUCGCUUAAGUCAUCAAGUCCAGCCAGAUAAGGUGCUCCGAAUCGGAACCAAUUGAGCGAGUGGCGAACGGGACAAAGGGAGCACAUUUCCAUGGGCCAGGACAUGGGUUCAGGACAUUGGGCAUACAUCCACAUGGCCAGUCAGUCAGACAACCAGUCAGCCCGACAGCUUAACUCGGUUGACAUUUAUCUGGCUUUUGCAUUUGUGCAUUGCUGUUGCCAUAGCGCCACGCCCACCCACAAUCGGAAUGGGCGUCCCAUUGAUGACGCUGGCGACUUUCAUUCACAAAACUGCAGCAUUUCAAGGCAGGAACGGAGUGGCAAACGUCAGCAGUGAAUGGAAGAGACAGCCAUGCAACCACCCCCUUUUGCUCCUCGAUGAAAAUGUGGAAAAUUGUGCAGACCCCUCGGCUCUCCAUCUUCUUUGGAUGUCCUUCGUCGUGGAUGUGGAUGUGAAUGUGAAUGUGAAUGUGGAUGCAGAUGUGGAUGUGGAGAAGCUGGGCGGCGGAGGUGACUUGGCUAAUGAAGACCAAUGACGUCCGACGGCUUACAAAAGCACUCGGAACAAAAUGCUUAAUCGUUCUCGAAUUUAAAUGAAUAGCAUUAGCUCAACUGGCAUUCCUUUCAUGAGGAACACACAUUUUGACUUGAUAAGUCUUCUAAUUAGGCAUUGAAUUCGCAGUUACUAUGUAUUCCUAAAAAGCAACAAGGAUAUGAAAGGGAUAUUUUGUGAUAAUUUUCAGAUAUAUUUAAGAUACAUGUGUGCAUUCAAGGCCUUACAGAAAUAAAUCGAUGCAAUAUGAGUAUCUUUUUGGUAAUUUUCCAUAUCAUUUU
Non-coding RNA from Drosophila melanogaster (fruit fly), 922 nucleotides. The record is from Ensembl. NCBI's taxonomy places the organism in Eukaryota, Metazoa, Arthropoda, Insecta, Diptera, Drosophilidae.